Molecule: ribosomal RNA, 497 nt
Filed under: uncultured bacterium
Lineage: Bacteria
Description: partial 16S ribosomal RNA
Rfam family: Bacterial small subunit ribosomal RNA
Source: RNAcentral
GACGAACGCUGGCGGCGUGCCUAAUACAUGCAAGUAGAACGCUGAAGGAAGGAGCUUGCUCUUUCUGGAUGAGUUGCGAACGGGUGAGUAACGCGUAGGUAACCUGCCUGGUAGCGGGGGAUAACUAUUGGAAACGAUAGCUAAUACCGCAUAAAAUUGAUUAUUGCAUGAUAGUCAAUUAAAAGGUGCAACUGCACCACUACCAGAUGGACCUGCGUUGUAUUAGCUAGUUGGUGGGGUAACGGCUCACCAAGGCGACGAUACAUAGCCGACCUGAGAGGGUGAUCGGCCACACUGGGACUGAGACACGGCCCAGACUCCUACGGGAGGCAGCAGUAGGGAAUCUUCGGCAAUGGACGGAAGUCUGACCGAGCAACGCCGCGUGAGUGAAGAAGGUUUUCGGAUCGUAAAGCUCUGUUGUAAGAGAAGAACGAGUGUGAGAGUGGAAAGUUCACACUGCGACGGUAUCUGACCAGAAAGGGACGGCUAACUACGUG